GUGGAAUGAACUGCUUUGCCAAGCUGAGGGUCAGUUAGGAGAAUUGUGUGAAGAGUUUUGCAAAAGUGACCUAAGUAUUGAGAAAUGUGUCCUAGCGUCUGUAAAAAACUGUAAUGUGUGAAACUGUAUGCUAAAGCGGAAUGCUAAUGAGAUGUUCUGCCGUAGUGUGCUGUGCGGAGUGGUGUGUGGCGAGCCUGUGCACUGAUAAUACACCGUUGUUUCCAUUCAGGAAAUAAAGUGGCAACGAUCGAUCAGAGACUCCUUGUCUUUUUAAAAACACUACACAACGCAGAGUCGAGGAGUCUGUUUGGGCCGAACUGUUGCAGCGGGAUGAAGCAGAAACCGGUUACAGUAGCAUUACAGAAAUGUAGCAGUGACAAUAAUAUUGUAUGUUGUAAUCGCAAUGGACAAUAAGUGAUACAAAACAACUGUUUUAUCCUGUGAAUAAAAGUAUAUGUUUUUGUCAAUGUACCAUGGUAAUAACAGAAGCGAAACACAAUAUUGUGUCAGGACAAUUCACUAUUUAUGCACAAUAAAUAAAGGAGCAUAGCGCGACAAUUUCUGUUCAGCGCCAGACUUGCUUGUAACCUAUAUCACCAAUUAUGUUAAGAAAAAUGACGUAUUAACUACUAAAAAACUCUGACCUUUGUGGGAAUGCUUGGAGCAGACUAACAUGUGAGCUGGAGUGUUCUGAGACGUUAUAUUUGGUAUAUCCAGACCAUCCGUCGGCUCUUACUUCGGAAACAUGGCUUAAAAAAUUUCUCUUCAACGACGUAAUCCGAUAAAAAAAAAAAAAGAUCUCUUUACCCAUCGGCUUCCCGUGGCUGUCAUGCGACCGGCUAUUGAAGUUAAUAAUACAACAGCUUCUUGCCAUUUUUUGGGUUUCUUUUUAUCGCUGUGUAACUGAGUUCAAUUGAAAGCCUGCGUGCGCUAGUACCUCUUGCCACAAGUUCCCAGAAUCCUUUGCGGUUUUAUCCCUGAAUGAUGUCACAUUUUCAAUCUUUAUCCUGGUGGGCCGGUCUCUAGUCAAAAUGCCCGGGCCGAUUUUUU
Astatotilapia calliptera (eastern happy) is the source of this 1050-nucleotide long non-coding RNA. Lineage: Eukaryota; Metazoa; Chordata; Actinopteri; Cichliformes; Cichlidae. The record is from Ensembl.